Molecule: ribosomal RNA, 427 nt
Filed under: uncultured bacterium
Lineage: Bacteria
Description: bacterial SSU rRNA
Rfam family: Bacterial small subunit ribosomal RNA
Source: RNAcentral
UGGGGAAUUUUGGAUAAUGGGCGAAAGCCUGAUCCAGCCAUGCCGCGUGAGUGAAGAAGGCCUUCGGGUUGUAAAGCUCUUUUAGUCGGAAAGAAAGAGUUGCAAUGAAUAAUUGUGAUUUAUGACGGUACCGACAGAAAAAGCACCGGCUAACUACGUGCCAGCAGCCGCGGUAAUACGGAGGGUGCGAGCGUUAUCCGGAUUUACUGGGUUUAAAGGGUGCGUAGGUGGGCUUAUAAGUCAGUGGUGAAAUCUCCGAGCUUAACUUGGAAACUGCCGUUGAUACUAUAGCUCUUGAAUUAUCUGGAGGUAAGCGGAAUAUGUCAUGUAGCGGUGAAAUGCUUAGAUAUGACAUAGAACACCAAUUGCGAAGGCAGCUUACUACAUAUAAAUUGACGCUGAGGCACGAAAGCGUGGGGAUCAAACA